RNAcentral lists this ribosomal RNA (255 nucleotides) under uncultured bacterium. RNAcentral describes it as "partial 16S ribosomal RNA". It matches the Rfam family "Bacterial small subunit ribosomal RNA", at positions 524 to 776 of the family's 1533-position model. The record is from RNAcentral.
UACGUAGGGUGCAAGCGUUAAUCGGAAUUACUGGGCGUAAAGCGUGCGCAGGCGGUUGUGCAAGACAGAUGUGAAAUCCCCCGGGCUUAACCUGGGAAUUGCAUUUGUGACUGCACGGCUAGAGUGUGUCAGAGGGGGGGUAGAAUUCCACGUGUAGCAGUGAAAUGCGUAGAUAUGUGGAGGAAUACCGAUGGCGAAGGCAGCCCCCUGGGAUAACACUGACGCUGAGGAGCGAAAGCAUGGGGAGCGAACAGG